This 569-nucleotide long non-coding RNA is filed under the name Fragaria vesca (wild strawberry). Its description in RNAcentral is "long non-coding RNA (FVES_LNC001087)". Lineage: Eukaryota; Viridiplantae; Streptophyta; Magnoliopsida; Rosales; Rosaceae. The record is from RNAcentral.
CGGAGGAAAAUGAUUGUAUAUCACAAAGCAUCAGCAUCAAGUUAAGCUGGAGAGAAUCUCAACAGACAACAGAAAUGAAAUUUCAUAUGCAAAGCUACUUGGUAUAACUCUAUGAAACCGAAGACAUAGUUGAAGGCUAUCAACAUACAGGCAUAACAUUUAUCGCCUCCCCAGAGAAUUAAACAGUCGUAUAUCUUUCCUUUAAUCAAUUCUUCACCAUUUCGUUUCUAUGUCCACUCUCUAAAACUCAAGGUCUAAGAUGCAGACAGCUCCAGCAGAAGAAACACCACCUUCUGAAUCUUCAAAUCAAUCUCAGAGAGUCCUACUGCGCUUAAGAGAGAGAGAGAGAGAGAGAGAGAGAGAGAGAGAGAGAGAGAGAGAGAGAGAGAGAGAGAGAGAGAGAGAGAGAGAGAGAGAGAGAGAGAGAGAGAGAGAGAGAGAGAGNNNNNNNNNNNNNNNNNNNNGAGAGAGAGAGAGAGGAAAUGGUGGACGAAGAAGAAUCAGAGCUAAACGAGAAGCACAAGAUUGAUAAUGCCAAGUGGUUCUGGCGAAACCCAAUUCAGCUGGUU